CAGGAAGCCCCGCCUCGUGGCGGGCAAGGUCGAGCCGUUGGCGCGCCGGGAUUCGGCUCGAACCAACUGAGGACCGGACCCGGGCGCCCGCAGGACCGAGCUCUCAUUCGUUCAGCCUUCCCCGGGCAAGAUGCACCUCCUGUCCAAGCCUCUCGCCCUGCUGCCCGCCGCAGACUGAAGGUCACGCAUCUCCAGCUGGAAUGCUGCAAAAGUGACGCUUUUCAUCAUGUGUGCAAAGUGUACUGCUGCGGUGUGGACUCUUCCCUCUUACAACAAGUAGACCCUCUCUGGGGAGAAAAGAAAGAAUUAAGAACCGACCCCCAUGAAAGAACCCUAAUAAGACAGCAACAAAGGGCCAGACGCGCCCCUGGAACUGGACCUGGGGCGGGGGGGGGGUGGGGGAGCACAGCCCUGGGAGCCCAGGUCCCCGCCUGCUCCUCCGACAGUCCCCUGCGCGCCUGCGCGCGCUGCCGCCACGGGGCUUCUGCCUCUGGGCCUCCGCAUCUCGCGCCUGGAACCACGUUCCCUGCGCACUGCACCAGUAAACACCUGAACACUCCCACCACAUGCUGCACGUUUAUUUGUAACAAAUUAGAAGCUGUUGUAAAACAU
Cercocebus atys (sooty mangabey) is the source of this 612-nucleotide long non-coding RNA. RefSeq lists it as uncharacterized. The record is from RefSeq and is a predicted model, not a curated record. The transcript has 2 exons. NCBI's taxonomy places the organism in Eukaryota, Metazoa, Chordata, Mammalia, Primates, Cercopithecidae.